RNAcentral lists this ribosomal RNA (486 nucleotides) under uncultured bacterium. RNAcentral describes it as "bacterial SSU rRNA". It matches the Rfam family "Bacterial small subunit ribosomal RNA", at positions 903 to 1397 of the family's 1533-position model. The record is from RNAcentral.
AAAUGAAUAGACGGGGGCCCGCACAAGCAGUGGAGUAUGUGGUUUAAUUCGAAGCAACGCGAAAAACCUUACCAGGUCUUGACAUCGAGUGAAGUAUUAAGAGAUUAAUACGUCUUUCGGGACACGAAGACAGGUGGUGCAUGGUUGUCGUCAGCUCGUGUCGUGAGAUGUUGGGUUAAGUCCCGCAACGAGCGCAACCCUUAUCAUUAGUUGCUACGCAAGAGCACUCUAAUGAGACUGCCGUUGACAAAACGGAGGAAGGUGGGGAUGACGUCAAAUCAUCAUGCCCCUUAUGACCUGGGCUACACACGUACUACAAUGGCAAUUAACAGAGGGAAGCAAAUCAGCGAUGGUAAGCAAAUCUCAAAAAAUUGUCUCAGUUCGGAUUGCAGGCUGCAACUCGCCUGCAUGAAGUCGGAAUUGCUAGUAAUCGCGAAUCAGCAUGUCGCGGUGAAUACGUUCCCGGGCCUUGUACACACCGCCCGU